CCUUCUCAACACAAUAGGCCGAAGACAGCAGGUGCGUCUUGUGCGCUUAAUACGUAGCAUGCCUGCCGAGGCGAAGAGGAUAGACAGAUGGCCAGAGCAACAUCUGGCAAGAUGAGUCUUCGUAUCGGCAUGAUAUACGAGGACUCUAAUUUUUUAAGG
This is a non-coding RNA of Chloroflexi bacterium RBG_13_56_8, 159 nucleotides long. The record is from Rfam. Lineage: Bacteria; Bacillati; Chloroflexota.